RNAcentral lists this ribosomal RNA (256 nucleotides) under uncultured bacterium. RNAcentral describes it as "partial 16S ribosomal RNA". It matches the Rfam family "Bacterial small subunit ribosomal RNA", at positions 524 to 776 of the family's 1533-position model. The record is from RNAcentral.
UACGGAGGAUCCAAGCGUUAUCCGGAUUCACUGGGUUUAAAGGGUGCGUAGGUGGAAUGACAAGUCAGUGGUGAAAACCUGCAGCUUAACUGUAGAACUGCCAUUGAUACUGUUAUUCUUGAGUACAUUUGAUGUGAGUGGAAUGUGUCGUGUAGCGGUGAAAUGCUUAGAUAUGACACAGAACACCAAUUGCGAAGGCAGCUCACAAAACUGUAAACUGACACUGAGGCACGAAAAGCGUGGGGGAUCAAACAGG